This 487-nucleotide ribosomal RNA is filed under the name uncultured bacterium. Its description in RNAcentral is "partial 16S ribosomal RNA". It matches the Rfam family "Bacterial small subunit ribosomal RNA", at positions 355 to 835 of the family's 1533-position model. The record is from RNAcentral.
UAGGGAAUCUUCCACAAUGGACGCAAGUCUGAUGGAGCAACGCCGCGUGAGUGAAGAAGGCUUUCGGGUCGUAAAACUCUGUUAUUGAAGAAGAACGUGUGUGACAGUAACUGGUCAUGCAGUGACGGUAUUCAAUCAGAAAGUCACGGCUAACUACGUGCCAGCAGCCGCGGUAAUACGUAGGUGGCAAGCGUUGUCCGGAUUUAUUGGGCGUAAAGCGAGUGCAGGCGGUCUUUUAAGUCUGAUGUGAAAGCCUUCGGCUUAACCGAAGAAGGGCAUCGGAAACUGGGAGACUUGAGUGCAGAAGAGGAGAGUGGAACUCCAUGUGUAGCGGUGAAAUGCGUAGAUAUAUGGAAGAACACCAGUGGCGAAGGCGGCUCUCUGGUCUGUAACUGACGCUGAGGCUCGAAAGCGUGGGUAGCAAACAGGAUUAGAUACCCUGGUAGUCCACGCCGUAACGAUGAAUACUAAGUGUUGGAGGGCUUUC